This 416-nucleotide ribosomal RNA is filed under the name Minisyncoccota bacterium. RNAcentral describes it as "bacterial SSU rRNA". It matches the Rfam family "Bacterial small subunit ribosomal RNA", at positions 1 to 427 of the family's 1533-position model. The record is from RNAcentral. Lineage: Bacteria; Bacillati; Minisyncoccota.
UUUUUUGAGAGUUUGAUCCUGGCUCAGGAUGAACGCUGGCGGUGUGCUUUAGGCAUGCAAGUCGAACGGUAACAGGUCUAGUUUACUAGAUGCUGACGAGUGGCGAACGGGUGAGUAACACGUAGGAAUCUACCUAGUAGCGGGGGAUAGCCCAUCGAAAGAUGGGAUAAUACCGCAUAAGCCCUUACGGGGAAAGCAUUUAUGCACUAUUAGAGGAGCCUGCGCGCUAUCAGUUAGUUGGUGGGGUAAUGGCCUACCAAGACUACGACGGCUAGCCGAUGUGAGAGCAUGAUCGGCCACAAGGUUACUGAGACACGGAACCUACACCUACGGGUGGCAGCAACCGGGAAUAUUGCGCAAUGGACGAAAGUCUGACGCAGCGACACCGCGUGUGGGAAGACGCUUUUCGGAGUGUA